UACGGGGGGGGCAAGCGUUGUUCGGAAUUACUGGGCGUAAAGCGUGCGCAGGCGGUUAUGUAAGACAGGUGUGAAAUCCCCGGGCUUAACCUGGGAACUGCAUUUGUGACUGCAUAGCUAGAGUACGGUAGAGGGGGAUGGAAUUCCGCGUGUAGCAGUGAAAUGCGUAGAUAUGCGGAGGAACACCGAUGGCGAAGGCAAUCCCCUGGACCUGUACUGACGCUCAUGCACGAAAGCGUGGGGAGCAAACAGG
RNAcentral lists this ribosomal RNA (253 nucleotides) under uncultured bacterium. RNAcentral's name for it is "partial 16S ribosomal RNA". It matches the Rfam family "Bacterial small subunit ribosomal RNA", at positions 524 to 776 of the family's 1533-position model. The record is from RNAcentral.